CCUACGGGAGGCAGCAGUGAGGAAUAUUGGUCAAUGGGCGCGAGACUGAACCAGCCAAGUAGCGUGAAGGAUGACUGCCCUACGGGUUGUAAACUUCUUUUAUAAAGGAAUAAAGUGAGGCACGUGUGCCUUUUUGUAUGUACUUUAUGAAUAAGGAUCGGCUAACUCCGUGCCAGCAGCCGCGGUAAUACGGAGGCUCCGAGCGUUAUCCGGAUUUAUUGGGUUUAAAGGGAGCGUAGAUGGGUUGUUAAGUCAGUUGUGAAAGUUUGCGGCUCAACCGUAAAAUUGCAAUUGAUACUGGCAGUCUUGAGUACAGUUGAGGUAGGCGGAAUUCGUGGUGUAGCGGUGAAAUGCUUAGAUAUCACGAAGAACUCCGAUUGCGAAGGCAGCUUACUAAACUGCCACUGACAUUGAUGCUCGAAAGUGUGGGUAUCAAACAGGAUUAGAUACCCGAGUAGUC
Molecule: ribosomal RNA, 460 nt
Filed under: uncultured bacterium
Lineage: Bacteria
Description: partial 16S ribosomal RNA
Rfam family: Bacterial small subunit ribosomal RNA
Source: RNAcentral